UACGUAGGGCGCAAGCGUUAUCCGGAAUUAUUGGGCGUAAAGAGCUCGUAGGCGGUUUGUCGCGUCUGCCGUGAAAGUCCGGGGCUCAACUCCGGAUCUGCGGUGGGUACGGGCAGACUAGAGUGAUGUAGGGGAGACUGGAAUUCCUGGUGUAGCGGUGAAAUGCGCAGAUAUCAGGAGGAACACCGAUGGCGAAGGCAGGUCUCUGGGCAUUAACUGACGCUGAGGAGCGAAAAGCUGGGGAGCGAACAGGGAUU
This 257-nucleotide ribosomal RNA is filed under the name uncultured bacterium. RNAcentral's name for it is "partial 16S ribosomal RNA". It matches the Rfam family "Bacterial small subunit ribosomal RNA", at positions 524 to 779 of the family's 1533-position model. The record is from RNAcentral.